AUACAGAGGGUGCGAGCGUUAAUCGGAAUUACUGGGCGUAAAGCGCGCGUAGGCGGCUUGGUCAGUCGGAUGUGAAAGCCCCGGGCUCAACCGGGGAAUGGCAUUCGAUACUGCCAGGCUAGAGUAUGGGAGAGGGAAGUGGAAUUUCCGGUGUAGCGGUGAAAUGCGUAGAUAUCGGAAGGAACACCAGUGGCGAAGGCGACUUCCUGGCCCAAUACUGACGCUGAGGUGCGAAAGCGUGGGGAGCGAACAGGAUUAGAUACCCUAGUAGUCC
RNAcentral lists this ribosomal RNA (274 nucleotides) under uncultured bacterium. RNAcentral's name for it is "partial 16S ribosomal RNA". It matches the Rfam family "Bacterial small subunit ribosomal RNA", at positions 523 to 796 of the family's 1533-position model. The record is from RNAcentral.